GCCAUCAUUGUAAAAAUGAUGCAGGAUCGACUAUGUCGAAUAAAAUUCUAGGUAGAAUUAUGAUAAUGACAUUGUCUGCCCUAUGUGUCUUGACCAAAUUACGUGCCAGCAGUCGCGGUAAUACGUAGAAGACUAGUGUUAUUCAUGUUUAAUCGGUUUAAAGGGUACCUAGACGAUAAAUCAAGCCUAAAAUUAAAUAAAGGGACUAAUUUACUAGAGUUACUUAUGAGGGGGUAUUAAAGUACUGCUGGUGUAGAGAUGAAAUUCUGUCAUACCUCUUUUCAAUAGAAAAAUAAUGGCACAGGUAUAGGCGAAAGCAUCCCCUUAUGUGAUAACUGACGUUGAGGGACGAAGGCUUUGUGUAGCGAACAGGAUUAGAUACCCCAGUAGUCAAAGCAGAAAAUGAUGAAUGUCAUAGAUUAGAUAAAUAAGUUUAUUCUAUAAAUGAAAGUGUAAGCAUUCCACCUCAAGAGUAAUUUGGCAACAUUGGAACUGAAAUCAUUAGACCGUUUCUGAAACCAGUAGUGAAGUAUGUUGUUUAAUUUGAUGAUCCGCAAAAAACCUUACCACAAUUUGAAUAUUUAUAUUUUUUAUUGUUUUCUUUUUAAUUUUCUUCUGAUUUGAUUUUUCUAAAGAAAAAAAGAAAAAAAGAAAAAAAGAAAAAAAGAAAGAGAGGCGAUAUGAUAUAUUUACAAGCGUUGCACGGCUGUCUUCAGUUAAUGUCGCGAGACUUUGGUUAGUUCCAUUAAAUUAACGUAAACCCUUGGGUUUAUUUUUAUAUAGAGUAGUUCCCCGC
Molecule: ribosomal RNA, 796 nt
Filed under: Hypogymnia canadensis
Lineage: Eukaryota; Fungi; Ascomycota; Lecanoromycetes; Lecanorales; Parmeliaceae
Description: partial small subunit ribosomal RNA
Rfam family: Bacterial small subunit ribosomal RNA
Source: RNAcentral